RNAcentral lists this ribosomal RNA (147 nucleotides) under Trichomonas vaginalis G3. RNAcentral's name for it is "5.8S ribosomal RNA". It matches the Rfam family "5.8S ribosomal RNA". From Rfam's summary of the family: 5.8S ribosomal RNA (5.8S rRNA) is a component of the large subunit of the eukaryotic ribosome. It is transcribed by RNA polymerase I as part of the 45S precursor that also contains 18S and 28S rRNA. Lineage: Eukaryota; Parabasalia; Trichomonadida; Trichomonadidae. The record is from RNAcentral.
UCUCUAAGCAAUGGAUGUCUUGCUCCUCACACGAUGAAGAACGUGGCAUAAUGUUUAAUAACCGGAGUUGCAAACAUCAUGACAGUUAAUCUUUGAAUGCAAAUUGCGCUAAACUCGAUCUCGGUCGAGAAGCAUGGGUGACAGUAC